UGGGGAAUUUUGGCCAAUGGGGGAAACCCUGAUCCAGCCAUGCCGCGUGAGUGAAGAAGGCCUUCGGGUUGUAAAGCUCUUUUAGUCGGAAAGAAAGAGUUGCGAUGCAAUAAUUGUGAUUUAUG
RNAcentral lists this ribosomal RNA (125 nucleotides) under uncultured bacterium. Its description in RNAcentral is "partial 16S ribosomal RNA". It matches the Rfam family "Bacterial small subunit ribosomal RNA", at positions 355 to 478 of the family's 1533-position model. The record is from RNAcentral.